Molecule: ribosomal RNA, 468 nt
Filed under: Lacticaseibacillus rhamnosus
Lineage: Bacteria; Bacillati; Bacillota; Bacilli; Lactobacillales; Lactobacillaceae
Description: bacterial SSU rRNA
Rfam family: Bacterial small subunit ribosomal RNA
Source: RNAcentral
GAUGAACGCUGGCGGCGUGCCUAAUACAUGCAAGUCGAACGAGUUCUGAUUAUUGAAAGGUGCUUGCAUCUUGAUUUAAUUUUGAACGAGUGGCGGACGGGUGAGUAACACGUGGGUAACCUGCCCUUAAGUGGGGGAUAACAUUUGGAAACAGAUGCUAAUACCGCAUAAAUCCAAAAACCGCAUGGUUCUUGGCUGAAAGAUGGCGUAAGCUAUCGCUUUUGGAUGGACCCGCGGCGUAUUAGCUAGUUGGUGAGGUAACGGCUCACCAAGGCAAUGAUACGUAGCCGAACUGAGAGGUUGAUCGGCCACAUUGGGACUGAGACACGGCCCAAACUCCUACGGGAGGCAGCAGUAGGGAAUCUUCCACAAUGGACGCAAGUCUGAUGGAGCAACGCCGCGUGAGUGAAGAAGGCUUUCGGGUCGUAAAACUCUGUUGUUGGAGAAGAAGGUCGGCAGAGUAACUGU